This 78-nucleotide transfer RNA is filed under the name Nitrososphaerota archaeon. Its description in RNAcentral is "Thaumarchaeota archaeon tRNA-Arg". It matches the Rfam family "tRNA". Rfam says of the family: Transfer RNA (tRNA) molecules are approximately 80 nucleotides in length. Their secondary structure includes four short double-helical elements and three loops (D, anti-codon, and T loops). Lineage: Archaea; Thermoproteati; Nitrososphaerota. The record is from RNAcentral. RNAcentral also lists the same sequence under 1 other name.
GGGCCCGUAGCUCAGUACGGACAGAGUGGCAGCCCCCUAAGCUGUAGGCCGAGGGUUCAAAUCCCUCCGGGCCCGCCA